GCAACUUUUAAUUAAAGUUAACCAAAGAGUUGUGCUGGAGGACCUAGAUAUUCCUAGAGAGAACUUAUUAAUCAAAUCCGUGAAUAAUCAAAUCCGCAGAUAUCAAAUCCGAAAAUAUAGAGGGAUGAUUGUACUAUUGAAUUUAAAGAUGGAGGAUGAGGCCAUAAAAGACAAAAUGAUUAUAACGAAACACCAGAGGAAGAUGAGUGGUUAUAUAAAGAAUAUGAGACUAUAGCAAUGAAUAAAUCAACACAAUUGUUAAAGAAUAACUGAAUAGAUGAAGUUAAUAGAGAAUGGAGGUUGGUAAUGGAUUUUCUUGAAAAGAUGUGGGGGGGAUAGCGGUGAUAGGGUUCCCAAUAUAAGUAAAAUAAGGUGAUAAGAUAGGGUUUAUUUCAUUACUUUUCCUUACUAUCUCUUUUUUUAAUGCCAGAAGAAGGGGGUAAGAAAACAGGAUAUAUAGGAUAUGGCUAUAGGGAAUAUAUGAGUACUGGUUAUAUUUGAUAAGAGAUAGGAUUAAUAAAGAAGUCAUAGAAGUCUGGUGUAUGAAGCAAUGGAGACAAAGGAGGAAGUCUAGGUGUGGAAGGAUGAGAAUAUGAAUUAAGGUACUGUACUGCAAGUGCUAGAAGGUAUGAGUAUGUGUGAAGAAUUAGAAGGAAGGUAGAAGAAGGUUGAUUAUGGAGAUAUCAGGAGGGGUAUGAAGAGAAAAGUGAGAGAGAGGAAGAGUUGAAGAGGGAGAGAAGUACGUGUGAGAAAGGAUAGAAUAGCAGUGAUGGUGAACCUUUUAGAGGCCGUGUGCCCAAAUUGCAACCCAAAACCCACUUAUUUAUUGCAAAGUGCCAUGUCCCUCUGGCUUUCUAGUAACAAACUCUUUGCUGCGAUGAUGGCACAUGUGCCCACAGAGAAGGCUCUGAGUGCCACCUCUGGCAUGCGUGCCAUAGGUUCGCCAUCACUGGAAUAGGGAGUAGUUGAAGGUGAAGAAUGAUGAGGUAUAGGAGAGGUAUAAGUGAGGUGGGACAACUAGACAAAGACAAGACUAAACAGAUUGAUAAUUGGUAAGGGAAGGAGAAACAGGACCGGGGUAAGGUGAUACUGUUUUAUAGCAGGUUUGAUGAAUGAUAAAUAUUGUUCCUUUGUUUUAUAAUGUUAUGAGUGAUGUGUAUUAUUCAUUUUAUCCAUAUUGGAAUUAUAAUAAAUAUUAUUUUUAAAAAGAUAUUUAAACGUUAACACUGAAGUAAGCAGACCAUCUGGGGGAGAGUAUCCCAGAUUUGGUGCCAUAACAAAAAAAAAAUUAUCCCCCCCCCAACUGAUCUUAUAACGGGGAGAUCAAGAGAUUGGUCUCGGGGAAUACUUAAUUUGAAAGGUUUGAAAGGUCAGCAGCUGGUUACACAUUGCAAACGCAGGUUGGCAUGAUGGAGUUUUCUCCAGCAUAUUGUGUUGAAGGCAAGGAUUUCAGCUGUUGAUUUUAUGUUGAAGUUAGGGUUGACCACACCUUCCCUACUUAACCUAAUAGGAAAAGAAGUACUACUUAAAAAAAUUAGCCUUCUGUCCUUACUAUCGGGUUGGGUGUUUUGUUUUGUUUUUGUUUUUUGUCCUGUUUUUUGAUAGCAGUAGAAAUGUUCUUUAAGAUGAAAACAAAUUCUAUUCUGCUGGCAGUUAAUAUACAACAAAUCAGAUGCCCCAGGGUACUACUCAUGUAAAUGUCUUUCAGCUUCAGAGACGUCCCAGAGCAACAUCUGCAGGUAAGAAGAAGUGUGAUAUGAGGAAGCAAGAAAAAAUCCCCUUCAGGGUCUAUGCUGCUAUGAUGCAAGGCACUUCCUGUGAUUCUGGAAUAAUGGGGACAUCAGAGCGAUGACAUCACCCAGGCCUGGAAGGACAAAGAGGGUGAGUUAGCCUACUAGGUUGAGUACUUGGUGGCUGUGGUCACCUUCCCACAUUGGCACAGUAUGUGUUAGCAUGAUGCACAGAGCUAAGAAAAAAUACACGGGCAACCCAUGGCUUUUCCUAUAAGCUUGGGGUCUAUGGUAGGAGAUAGCAUUUGUUGAGGUGUAAGCCCAAUUAUAGAUGGCCUGCUAUCAACUCCCAGAAUCCUCUGACACACAUGCUGAGACUUGAUGUUGCACUGUGUUGUUUCAAGUGAACGUGUAAUGACAGGAACAUGGAGCAGGGACAACGGCCUCCUAUUUACCUUGCCCUUUCUUUCUUAGAGCUGAUGCAGAUUAGGCUCAGAGGGGAAAGACAAAGCAACGAGCCAAAAUAAAUUCAAAGAGAAACAUCUUGACUUCUUGGAAUAGGAAGAGAGUAUCUUAGUUGUGCUUCUCUUUCCAGCUUAGAACAGACAUUUAAAACCAAGAACUAGAGCGUUCUUUCCCCUCCUGAAUGCUUAUUUCAGUGCCUGAGAGUAGGAUAGCAAAAUGAAAUGAAGUUAUUUUAUCGUUCUUUUGUUUCAAAUGCACACAUUGUUGUAGAUACAAUUGUGCAUCAUAGUGCGCUCUCACAAGAAAGAACUACUAUGACUAGGUUCAUGGCUGAGCCCUAGGAUUUAGAAAUUAAAAGGAUUGAAUUUUACCAGGCUCCUGAGUCCCUGGAUGCUGUUGAGCAGUUUGUUUUAUCUCAGGCCAAGUCUCUCAUUAGAAUAACUGAAACUUUCAUUGCAGUAUUAUGGUAGCAGCAAACAUAUAUAAGGCUAUGGAGCACUGAAAACCUGUGAAUCUGGUUCUGUUUUAUAAAGCACCCUCACCCUAUUGAAAAAUAUGUCUGGUGAGUAGAACUUUUUUUUAACAGGACAACAUUGAAAAAUGCAGUUUUACUCACCCAAAUUCUAAGAGAUGUGGCAAAAUCCUUAUUGUAGGCUUUUCCCAUUGUGAUCACCUUGUUCUUAAUUACAUGUGGAAAAUCUGUAGCAAAGGAAGCUCCCUUCCCGCUGUCCAUGGACUCUGGCAUCAGGAGUGAGUACAACUUGGCUCUUCUCUUCCCAGUAAUGGUCAAAUGCCACCUUCCCUUGGGUGGCUGGUUAUUUUGAAGAACAUAACAUCUUCCAGUUGGGUUGUGCAUUGAAUUCUUGGUGUUGUACAUUGAACUACUCUGCAAAGUAGUUCAUUGGUAGAUCUGUCUCUUCCUUAAAAUUUCCUUUCUUUGACAUGUAAAUUGCAUUUUGUUUAAUAAACAUUUUACC
Molecule: long non-coding RNA, 3172 nt
Organism: Sceloporus undulatus (fence lizard)
Lineage: Eukaryota; Metazoa; Chordata; Lepidosauria; Squamata; Phrynosomatidae
Exons: 2
Source: RefSeq, a predicted model, not a curated record